UACGGAGGGUGCAAACGUUGCUCGGAAUCAUUGGGCGUAAAGCGCGUGUAGGCGGCUUGUUAAGUCGGGUGUGAAAGCCCUGGGCUCAACCCAGGAAGUGCGCCCGAAACUGGCGAGCUAGAGUACGGGAGAGGGUAGUGGAAUUCCCGGUGUAGAGGUGAAAUUCGUAGAUAUCGGGAGGAACACCAGUGGCGAAGGCGGCUACCUGGACCGAUACUGACGCUGAGACGCGAAAGCGUGGGUAGCAAACAGG
Molecule: ribosomal RNA, 253 nt
Filed under: uncultured bacterium
Lineage: Bacteria
Description: partial 16S ribosomal RNA
Rfam family: Bacterial small subunit ribosomal RNA
Source: RNAcentral